RNAcentral lists this unclassified non-coding RNA (324 nucleotides) under Hevea brasiliensis (rubber tree). The record is from RNAcentral. Lineage: Eukaryota; Viridiplantae; Streptophyta; Magnoliopsida; Malpighiales; Euphorbiaceae.
AUGAACCCGCCCCACAGGAAACUGCAGGAAAUAUUUGGAAAAUGGUUACAAAAAGAAAAAAAAAAUAUUAUAAUUUUACUAAAACAGUAAAUGAGUUCCUAUUUGUUCAAGAAAAGAUAUUACAUCAGAGAAGAGAGAGUUGAGCCAAACUGUUUGAAAGGUAUAAUCAAACGUAUAGAUUCAGAUUCAACAAGUUCAUAAGCUACAAGUUUCCACAAAGCAACUUCUGAUGUGAAUAGAAAAUAUUGAAAUCAUCUCACCUGCACUUCAAGCAUUAAAUUCUUUCUAAGAAUUACAUCAACACCCUCCAGCAGUAUUCUUAAU